Molecule: ribosomal RNA, 253 nt
Filed under: uncultured bacterium
Lineage: Bacteria
Description: partial 16S ribosomal RNA
Rfam family: Bacterial small subunit ribosomal RNA
Source: RNAcentral
UACGAAGGGGGCUAGCGUUGCUCGGAAUCACUGGGCGUAAAGCGCACGUAGGCGGGUCCUUAAGUCAGGGGUGAAAUCCCGGAGCUCAACUCCGGAACUGCCUUUGAUACUGGAGAGCUCGAGUCCGGAAGAGGUGAGUGGAACUGCGAGUGUAGAGGUGAAAUUCGUAGAUAUUCGCAAGAACACCAGUGGCGAAGGCGGCUCACUGGUCCGGUACUGACGCUGAGGUGCGAAAGCGUGGGGAGCAAACAGG